Molecule: ribosomal RNA, 253 nt
Filed under: uncultured bacterium
Lineage: Bacteria
Description: partial 16S ribosomal RNA
Rfam family: Bacterial small subunit ribosomal RNA
Source: RNAcentral
GACGAACCGUGCGAACGUUGUUCGGAAUCACUGGGCUUAAAGGGCGCGUAGGCGGGCUGCCAAGUCUGGGGUGAAAUCCCACGGCUCAACCGUGGAACUGCCUCGGAUACUGGCGGUCUCGAGGGAGGUAGGGGCAUGCGGAACUGUGGGUGGAGCGGUGAAAUGCGUUGAUAUCCACAGGAACUCCGGUGGCGAAAGCGGCGUGCUGGACCACAACUGACGCUGAGGCGCGAAAGCUAGGGGAGCAAACAGG